GGCUGGUCCGAUGGCAGUGGGUUAUCAGAACUUAUUAACAUUAGUGUCACUAAAGUUGGUAUACCACCCCCCCACUGCUAAAUUUGACUGGCUUUUA
This is an unclassified non-coding RNA of Cavia aperea (Brazilian guinea pig), 97 nucleotides long. It matches the Rfam family "Y RNA". Rfam says of the family: Y RNAs are components of the Ro ribonucleoprotein particle (Ro RNP), in association with Ro60 and La proteins. The Y RNAs and Ro60 and La proteins are well conserved, but the function of the Ro RNP is not known. In humans the RNA component can be one of four small RNAs -- hY1, hY3, hY4 and hY5. NCBI's taxonomy places the organism in Eukaryota, Metazoa, Chordata, Mammalia, Rodentia, Caviidae. The record is from Ensembl.